AAUUACAUAGAGAAUCUCUCCUCUCCCGUGGAGAUUUGUAAGCCUUCCGCAUAGCAAAAAGUCAUCAUCUCCAAGUGGUGGCUGCAAGUUUCUAUCCUCCACGUAUGUGAUCAAACCUGGCUCUAUAUUCGUGGUCAAAUCAUAACAAGUGGUUUAUUAAUUCAAUAACAAGUGAAGCUCUCGAAUUGACGGUUGUGAGGAGAAGAAUCAGUGAAUUAUAUCUUAUGAUUUGAAAUUGUCAAAGAUUGUAACUAAUGUAAAUUAUUGAAAUACAAA
This 276-nucleotide long non-coding RNA is filed under the name Nicotiana benthamiana. RNAcentral's name for it is "long non-coding RNA (NBEN_LNC030411)". Lineage: Eukaryota; Viridiplantae; Streptophyta; Magnoliopsida; Solanales; Solanaceae. The record is from RNAcentral.